This 497-nucleotide ribosomal RNA is filed under the name uncultured bacterium. RNAcentral's name for it is "partial 16S ribosomal RNA". It matches the Rfam family "Bacterial small subunit ribosomal RNA", at positions 28 to 507 of the family's 1533-position model. The record is from RNAcentral.
GAUGAACGCUUGCGGCGUGCCUAAUACAUGCAAGUCGAGCGAACAGACGAGGAGCUUGCUCCUCUGACGUUAGCGGCGGACGGGUGAGUAACACGUGGAUAACCUACCUAUAAGACUGGGAUAACUUCGGGAAACCGGAGCUAAUACCGGAUAAUAUAUUGAACCGCAUGGUUCAAUAGUGAAAGACGGUUUUGCUGUCACUUAUAGAUGGAUCCGCGCCGCAUUAGCUAGUUGGUAAGGUAACGGCUUACCAAGGCAACGAUGCGUAGCCGACCUGAGAGGGUGAUCGGCCACACUGGAACUGAGACACGGUCCAGACUCCUACGGGAGGCAGCAGUAGGGAAUCUUCCGCAAUGGGCGAAAGCUUGACGGAGCAACGCCGCGUGAGUGAUGAAGGUCUUCGGAUCGUAAAACUCUGUUAUUAGGGAAGAACAAAUGUGUAAGUAACUAUGCACGUCUUGACGGUACCUAAUCAGAAAGCCACGGCCAACUACGUG